RNAcentral lists this unclassified non-coding RNA (268 nucleotides) under Hevea brasiliensis (rubber tree). Lineage: Eukaryota; Viridiplantae; Streptophyta; Magnoliopsida; Malpighiales; Euphorbiaceae. The record is from RNAcentral.
AUUUACUUGAAAAAAUUUGCAAGUGGAAAAAACCCAGUUCCCAGGAAUCAUACCGUACUUGUUUGACUUAGGUAGUCUGUCUUGAUCUUCUCGAUCACAUGGUCCCCCAUUAGAUUGUAUGGUUCUCUCUCAUUUUCCUGCCUUAUAUAGUAUAAGGAUAUGAUAACUUUUGUCAGACAUUCUCUUCACUGUUUGAAUAAAUCCUUUAAUUUAUUGGGAUCAUGAUAUGUAGCACUCCAUGAAUGCUGCUUUUCUUGAACGAAGUGGG